This is a long non-coding RNA of Gambusia affinis (western mosquitofish), 2271 nucleotides long. RefSeq lists it as uncharacterized. NCBI's taxonomy places the organism in Eukaryota, Metazoa, Chordata, Actinopteri, Cyprinodontiformes, Poeciliidae. The record is from RefSeq and is a predicted model, not a curated record. The transcript is spliced from 4 exons.
CGUAACAAAAGCUCAGAAAUGGAAGUUCUGGUUGUUGAACAUAACUGAUGACGACGACGCCCCCCUGAGCCAGGCUGACUUUAUUCAGACCAAAACAUCUGGACUGUUGGGCCUGUGAAGCACGGUGGUGGAGGUGUGAUGGUUUGGGCUGCUGGAUCAGAAAGUCCACUGAGUUAUAAUCAUAUAAAUGAAAUAUUUCCCGGUGUGAGUCAACCUUCUUCUGUUUGACUUUGGCCUCACAUCGGCGCCGCGUCUCUCCGCCCCUGAGGCAGAAACAAAAGCCGCUUGUGCAGGCCGGAUCAGAGCCGCCGCUCACCGGGGGACGGCGCCCAGGAGACUCCGCCCACAUCCGGUCAGACGGUCCACCAGCAGAACGGCGGCGCCGUUCGCCACAGAACCGCUACGUUUAAACAUCAGGGCAGUGAAACAUUCCCCACGUUUCCAGAACAUUCACCAGGGCAGCAGAACUGAAGUUUCUGACCCGGUUCUGGUUGUAAAAAAGCAUCAGAACCGGCAGAUCCAGAGAAAGAUGUUCAGUUUCUCAUCAUUUUAUUAUUUAUUAGACUUCCUGAGUUUGUCUCCAGCUCCUCCUGAACUGGGCAGAUAAAAUAACAGAAGAAGAAGGAUUUACCUUCAUCCAUCAACUCUGAGCAGCUUCCCGCAGCAUGAUGCUGCCACCACCGUGUUUCACUACAGGGAUGAUGUCACUUUUUAUUUUUGUGUUUUAUGAUUGGAGGAUGGCUGCUAAUAUGUGCUAUAGAAAUAACAUGGAUUGAUUGAUUGAUUGAUUGAUUUGUUGAUUGAUUGAUUUGUUGAUUGAUUGGUUUGUUGAUUGAUUGAUUGAUUCUUCUACAUGUUCUGCCACUUAAAAUCUAAUGAAAUGGAAAUAAAGUUUGUCCAUCAUAAUUCUUCCUUCUGUGUUUUUCUGUCAUGAAUCAGGUUUGAGUGAUGUGUACUGGUGUGAACUUUGACCUGAACAGUUUAAUGUCUCCUCUCCUGAUUGGCCCCUGCAGCAGCAGCUCUCAGUUUCUCCGCUGAGCCGGAGGAUCCAGGCUGAACCGUAACUCGGCCGUCGGACUCAUUCCAGCCUGAAUCUCCAUCAGGUUUUGAAUUAUUGGUUUUGAAUGUUCGUGUGUCGCAUCGAUCUGUUGUCUCCUCUCUCUAACGUUCCUCUCCCUGCUGGGAUGAAUUUUCCUCCACAUCAGCAAGAAAAACAUUAUCAGAGAAAAGAAAUGGUGAGACAAUUAUCUGAUGAAGUCAUCCGUUUCCUCCAGAUUCUGCAGCGUCCGACGAGUAAAACGUUUGGCAGAUCCGACUCGUCCUCCAUCGACUGCGCUCAUCAGAAGAGCUGCUUAUUGUUUAUUUACACAGAGCAUCGCUUUCAUAAUCUGAUCAUAAUCUGAUCAUAAUCUGAUCUAAUCACAGCGACCGACACCUGAGAGGAAGAAGCAAACAUAUCUGAGUUCAUAAAAAAGAUUCAUUUUGAUAAAAAAUGCUGAACUUUUUGUUUUUAUUGAUCGCACCAGAAUAAAAGCCACAGUUUGAAGAAAAGAAGGAAAAUGACAGAUUUUCUCUUUUGAGUUUUUUUUUAAAGAAAUGUUUUACUAUAAGGAUUUGACUUUUCAUUUUCUCCUUCACUUUAUUCUUGACAUGGAUGUGAAAUCAUUUUUUUAUGUUCCUUUGAGUCAAAACGAGGGCUGGAAGAAAUAUCACAACACAACCGUUUCAGUCGAUUUUCAUGAUAAUUGAUUCGUUUUUAGUUUCAAAUGUCUGAAAUAUUAGGAAUAUUUGGUUUUUCCUGCUUUAUCCAAAGUUUCAUUCCAUUUCGUUUUUGUUUUUAAGCAGUUAUGAGACACGAUGGGAAAACUUGAAACUGCUGCUGCGCCAGUAACUCAACACAUUGUUGCUAGGCAACCAAUGAGUGAGAGAGUUGAUGCAACCAACCUAGCUCAGCUGCUAAUGAGCGAUGGAGCAGCUAAAGCUUUUCCUCUGCCUACAUCUCCCAGAAUGCUGUGCGGUUCUGAGUCAGUGGAUAUUCUGUAUAUUGAAUAUUGGGUUUUCUAUCAGAUGUAAUAUUUAUUGAUAUUGAUCACAUGUUUAACAUGAUUGUUAUUAUUAAUGGUUUAUUCUCAGUCAAAACAGAAAACUUGGUUUGUUUAGUUUUGUUUAUGUGGCGGCUAAAUGUGACUGGGCGCUAAUGCUAGCUUAAAAAUGAGAAACACAUUUUUCCAUUUCAAUCGAAUCGUUUGCUAAAAGUCUGACUUCCUGCCA